AUUGAACGCUGGCGGCAGGCCUAACACAUGCAAGUCGAGCGGAUGAAGGGAGCUUGCUCCUGGAUUCAGCGGCGGACGGGUGAGUAAUGCCUAGGAAUCUGCCUGGCAGUGGGGGAUAACGUCCGGAAACGGGCGCUAAUACCGCAUACGUCCUGAGGGAGAAAGUGGGGGAUCUUCGGACCUCACGCUAUCAGAUGAGCCUAGGUCGGAUUAGCUAGUUGGUGGGGUAAAGGCCUACCAAGGCGACGAUCCGUAACUGGUCUGAGAGGAUGAUCAGUCACACUGGAACUGAGACACGGUCCAGACUCCUACGGGAGGCAGCAGUGGGGAAUAUUGGACAAUGGGCGAAAGCCUGAUCCAGCCAUGCCGCGUGUGUGAAGAAGGUCUUCGGAUUGUAAAGCACUUUAAGUUGGGAGGAAGGGCAGUAAGUUAAUACCUUGCUGUUUUGACGUUACCAACAGAAUAAGCACCGACUAACUUCGUG
RNAcentral lists this ribosomal RNA (484 nucleotides) under uncultured bacterium. RNAcentral's name for it is "partial 16S ribosomal RNA". It matches the Rfam family "Bacterial small subunit ribosomal RNA", at positions 30 to 507 of the family's 1533-position model. The record is from RNAcentral.